GGACCCGCACAAGCAGUGGAGCAUGUGGUUUAAUUCGACGCAACGCGAAGAACCUUACCAGCGUUUGACAUGAGAAGUGCCGGUUACAGAAUGGUAACCUUCAGUUCGGCUGGCUUCUACACAGGUGCUGCAUGGCUGUCGUCAGCUCGUGUCGUGAGAUGUUGGUUAAGUCCCGCAACGAGCGCAACCCUUAUCGUUAGUUACUAACAGUUCGGCUGAGGACUCUAGCGAAACUGCCGGUGAUAAGCCGGAGGAAGGUGGGGAUGACGUCAAGUCCUCAUGGCCCUUACACGCUGGGCUACACACGUGCUACAAUGGUUGGUACAGAGGGCAGCUACCGGGUGACCGGAUGCGAA
Molecule: ribosomal RNA, 356 nt
Filed under: uncultured bacterium
Lineage: Bacteria
Description: bacterial SSU rRNA
Rfam family: Bacterial small subunit ribosomal RNA
Source: RNAcentral